Molecule: ribosomal RNA, 510 nt
Filed under: uncultured archaeon
Lineage: Archaea
Description: partial 16S ribosomal RNA
Source: RNAcentral
GCUCCCCCGCCAAUUCCUUUAAGUUUCAGCCUUGCGGCCGUACUUCCCAGGUGGCUCGCUUCACGGCUUCCUACGGCACCGACAACGGUCGCACCGUGGCCGACACCUAGCGAGUAUCGUUUACGGCUAGGACUACCCGGGUAUCUAAUCCGGUUCGUGCCCCUAGCUUUCGUCCCUUGCCGUCAGGUCCGUUCUGGUGAGACGCCUUCGCCACUGGUGGUCCUUCAAGGAUUACAAGAUUUCACCCCUACCCCUGAAGUACCUCUCACCUCUCCCGGCCUCGAGCCAGACAGUAUCUCCUGAAAGCCUGACAGUUAAGCUGCCAGAUUUCUCAAGAGACUUAUCCGGCCGGCUACAGACCCUCUAGACCCAAUAAUAACGGUUACCACUCGAGCCGCCGGUGUUACCGCGGCGGCUGGCACCGGUCUUGCCCGGCCCUUGCUAUGAAAUGCUUUUUAGGCAUCUCGACAGCCAGAUUUGUAACCUGGCACUCGAGGUUCCCUUAUCGCU